UACGUAGGGGGCAAGCGUUGUCCGGAAUCAUUGGGCGUAAAGCGCGCGUAGGCGGCCCGGUAAGUCCGUUGUAAAAGUCCAGGGCUCAACCCUGGAAAGCCGGUGGAUACUGUCGGGCUAGAGUCCGGAAGAGGCGAGUGGAAUUCCUGGUGUAGCGGUGGAAUGCGCAGAUAUCAGGAGGAACACCGAUGGCGAAGGCAGCUCGCUGGGACGGUACUGACGCUGAGGCGCGAAAGCGUGGGGAGCGAACAGG
Molecule: ribosomal RNA, 253 nt
Filed under: uncultured bacterium
Lineage: Bacteria
Description: partial 16S ribosomal RNA
Rfam family: Bacterial small subunit ribosomal RNA
Source: RNAcentral